UUAUUCAAGCUUAAUUUGAUUUUAAGGUUAGGUUUCUUUGUGCCUUGAUUUGGGAGAUGAACAAAGAACGCCCUCCUGAGCCUCUUGAUUUCUUCAUUUGGACUGUCGAGAGUUCGAAAAUGAUCCUCACCUUUAUGUGUUGAAGCCAACAAAUGAUUUCGUUUCUUUGGGAUGCCCCAAUUCUCCUUUAUGUUUGGUAACAGAGAGAUUUGAGAUGCGAAACCCAUUGCUGAAGGACCUGAGAUUGAAGAAAUAGAUAUGAGUUCUCAGAUUCAUUCAAAUGCUUCAGAUGUCAAAGUUGUUGGUGUCUUCAGAAAGAAAUGUACCAAACUAUAUGAAGCAAGCUUGAAGGAUGAGAAGCCUUUAGAUCAAUGGCUUCAUUGUUAAAUUAAGCAAGUGUUUUAGUAAAUAAAUUUAAUUUUCCCAUCAUGUUUACACCUUCAAAAUAUUAUGUAAAUGACAUUUGAUGUAGAAUUUUGUGUACAAAGGAUAUCUGUUUUGUAUGAUUAUCUGUUUGUAUGGAAUUAUUAUUUUGGGUUGGAUUAUAUUUGAUUUGUAUAGAAUUUGAUGUUAAAA
This is a non-coding RNA of Camellia sinensis, 576 nucleotides long. The record is from RefSeq and is a predicted model, not a curated record. Lineage: Eukaryota; Viridiplantae; Streptophyta; Magnoliopsida; Ericales; Theaceae.